AUGCCUCAAUCCCACGCACUCGAGAUCCAAAUCGUAAAGCAAAAAAAGCAAAUCUUACGAGUUUGCUUUGGCUCCAUCCACCGCAACCGCCGCGUUCUCCUCAGCGGCGGCGGCAGCCGCAUCCGCCUCGAUCUGCUUCUUGUUGCGCUCGAUCGCCUCGCCGACCUCCUUGGGCAUGUACUUCUCGUCGUGCUUGGCGAGCACCUCCGUGCCACGCAAGAAGCACUGGCCCUCCAGCGCCUUAUCGGAGACCUUUCUCCCCGCCCAGUCGCGGCGGAGAUCGUCCGUGAGUGGCUUGAGGAACCCCUCGACGACGACGGAGUGGCCCUCGCGGAAGAGGUCGGGGAGGGCGCCCUCGUAGCGGACGAGGACGUCGGUGACGAGGUCGGUGACGACGAACUCGAUCUCGGAGGAGGAGGAGGAGGGGUGGGCGACGGAGCCCUCGAGGACGAGCCCGCCGAGGCGGCAGCGGGUCUUGGAGGGGUCGGUGGCGAAGCGCGCGAGCGCGUCGGUGGGGGUGAGGUAGAAGACGAGCUGGUCCUGGAACGUGGCGAGCACGGUGACCACGAACCCGGCCGCGCAGCCGAAGGUGAGCGCGUAGGUCCAGAGGCGCCGGCUCUGCAGCUGCCGCGCCCGCGCGCCGAUGUCCGCCGCGCGCUGCCGCGGGGCGCCCGGCCCGGCCCGCCUCGUCGCGGAGAAGAAGCGCGCGGGCUGGAGGGUUUGGGCGAACGGGGAGGUGGUUGCGGCGGCGGGGCCGGUGGCGCGCGCGGCGGGGAUCGGGGUCGGGGUGUGGAGGAAGGCGGAGAGGAGGCGGCGGGAGGGGAGAAGGCGCGAGAAGGCCAUGGGGACGGUGGGAUCUGGGAGGUGCGGGGCCGAGGGAAUGGGGAAAAGGCGUGUGUGCGCGGUGCGCUCGCCCUUGCCUCCGGAUGGGUGGUCGGUCGGCCGCUGAUCUUCUUGCUGCGCACGGCACGCCGGUGCGGCGAGGUCAAAGUGGGCUGCGCCGUUCUUGCGAAUGGACCCCCGAGGUCCGCGGGAGCGCGGAAACACCGUGGAUUUCUGGCCCAGGAAAGUGUGUGGAAAUCGUCGUAA
Molecule: ribosomal RNA, 1089 nt
Filed under: Triticum aestivum (bread wheat)
Lineage: Eukaryota; Viridiplantae; Streptophyta; Magnoliopsida; Poales; Poaceae
Description: partial small subunit ribosomal RNA
Source: RNAcentral